CUUUCCCUCUGGCUUCAGGCCUAACACAUGCAAGUCGAGCGGAUGAAGGGAGCUUGCUCCUGGAUUCAGCGGCGGACGGGUGAGUAAUGCCUAGGAAUCUGCCUGGUAGUGGGGGAUAACGUCCGGAAACGGGCGCUAAUACCGCAUACGUCCUGAGGGAGAAAGUGGGGGAUCUUCGGACCUCACGCUAUCAGAUGAGCCUAGGUCGGAUUAGCUAGUUGGUGGGGUAAAGGCCUACCAAGGCGACGAUCCGUAACUGGUCUGAGAGGAUGAUCAGUCACACUGGAACUGAGGCACGGUCCAGACUCCUACGGGAGGCAGCAGUGGGGAAUAUUGGACAAUGGGCGAAAGCCUGAUCCAGCCAUGCCGCGUGUGUGAAGAAGGUCUUCGGAUUGUAAAGCACUUUAAGUUGGGAGGAAGGGCAGUAAGUUAAUACCUUGCUGUUUUGACGUUACCAACAGAAUAAGCACCGGCUAACUUCGUG
RNAcentral lists this ribosomal RNA (484 nucleotides) under uncultured bacterium. RNAcentral's name for it is "partial 16S ribosomal RNA". It matches the Rfam family "Bacterial small subunit ribosomal RNA", at positions 36 to 507 of the family's 1533-position model. The record is from RNAcentral.